CCUACGGGGGGCAGCAGUGGGGAAUAUUGGACAAUGGGGGGAACCCUGAUCCAGCCAUGCCGCGUGUGUGAAGAAGGCCCUCGGGUUGUAAAGCACUUUCAGUGAGGAAGAACGCCUGGUGGUUAAUACCCAUCAGGAAAGACAUCACUCACAGAAGAAGCACCGGCUAACUCCGUGCCAGCAGCCGCGGUAAUACGGAGGGUGCGAGCGUUAAUCGGAAUUACUGGGCGUAAAGCGCGCGUAGGUGGCUUGAUAAGCCGGUUGUGAAAGCCCCGGGCUCAACCUGGGAACGGCAUCCGGAACUGUCAAGCUAGAGUGCAGGAGAGGAAGGUAGAAUUCCCGGUGUAGCAGUGAAAUGCGUAGAGAUCGGGAGGAAUACCAGUGGCGAAGGCGGCCUUCUGGACUGACACUGACACUGAGGUGCGAAAGCGUGGGUAGCAAACAGGAUUAGAUACCCGUGUAGUC
Molecule: ribosomal RNA, 465 nt
Filed under: Vreelandella stevensii
Lineage: Bacteria; Pseudomonadati; Pseudomonadota; Gammaproteobacteria; Oceanospirillales; Halomonadaceae
Description: partial 16S ribosomal RNA
Rfam family: Bacterial small subunit ribosomal RNA
Source: RNAcentral